UAACUCUUAUUAGCGUGCACUUUAAGACAAUCAUGAAGUGACUUGAUGUAUCUUGGAACUAGAACAGGGUGAAAUCUACUCCAAAGAAAGAGCUUACCAUGACAUGCAUUGAACAAGCUUUACGUUUCUAAGUUAUUAUUAUUUACACUUUCUUAUUUCAGCAUAUUCAAACUAUUUAAUUAGUUUAUUUAUGUGACAAUAAACAAAAACUUUUCCAAUAUUUUGUUAUCACCCAACUCCCACAACAACUUAUGAAAAGAGGCCAAGCCCAUUUUAAAUGGGUCACAAUUAUGGUAUGUUGUACCAGCAUAAAUCGGGCGGUAUGGAGUGUACCGUACCGUACUGAUUCGGUACCGGUACUCGGUAUGAGUGGCGUACCGACACUCGGUACACGAAAAAACUCCGUACCGUACCAUACUGACAUUGUGCUAAUGUGGCACUGGUACGGAGUUCGGUACCGAGAUGGCGAACCUUGGUUUCCAUCAUAAUUUUCUAUUUUGCCUGACAAAUCUACCUAGGUGAUCAUGGUAACUUCUGUUCAAGCAUCUACAUAACCACCCACACAACAACCUACCAUUGUUCUCACCUAGCUUCCAGAAGGACU
RNAcentral lists this long non-coding RNA (604 nucleotides) under Phoenix dactylifera (date palm). RNAcentral describes it as "long non-coding RNA (PDAC_LNC020759)". The record is from RNAcentral. Lineage: Eukaryota; Viridiplantae; Streptophyta; Magnoliopsida; Arecales; Arecaceae.